AUAAGUCACCCAGGACAAACGCAACGACUAAUAACAUCCAGACAUGUCUAGCUAGUGCUCUCUGAUGUUCAGUAUGAAUACUGUUUAACUUAGAUAGAAAUGAACCUAUAUUGCCUAAUUGGUUUGAGUCUAAAGGGGGUGAGAGAAGGAGGGUUAUGAUGAGAUCAAUAACUCACUGAGUGAAUCUGUCCCUCUCAAGACUGCCAUCACUCCAUCAGCAUGCAAUAACGCUGGACUCAAUUCCAGGUUCUCUACCCCUAUGCUGUGUUGACCUGUGACUCCCUAACAUUCUCUCUGAUUGGUGGAGCUGCUGUGUGUAUGGACUUGAACAGGAAGUGCGUUGAGCGAAGAAUGAUUUCAGAAAUGUAACGAGGUCAGAGAUCUUUUCCGGAGCCUGGAGAGAAUCUACUCCCAACAAGUUCACAAGUAUUUGACCUCCCACAAUGCCAUGUUAAAAAACUAUGGGGGAUGGGGGACACCAAAACCACUUUGUGUGGGUUUAAAUAGAUGUGGCUCACCAAUCCUAACUCUAAAGCCGCUAAAAGUCUAAACCAGAACUACAUCUGAAGGGAAUACACAGCUAUAGCUACAAAGACACGUACAGUGCCUUCAGAAAGUAUUCAGACCCCUUGACUUUUUCCACAUUAAGUUACGUUACAGCUUUAUUCUAAAAUUGGUUUUGUUUUUAAAUCCUCAGCAAUUUACACGCAAUACCCCAUAAUGACAAAAACAGAAAUUCCUUAUUUACAGAAGUAUUCAAACCCUAUGAUAUGAUACUCAAAGUUGAGCUCAGGUGCAUCCUGUUUCCAUCGAUCAUCCUUGAGAUGUUUCUACAACUUUAUUGGCGUACACCUGUGGUAAAUUCAAUUGAUUGGACAUGAUUUGGAAAGGCACACACCUGUCUUUAUAGCUGAUGGUGCAAGCCAUGGGAUCAAAGGAAUUGUCCAUAGAGCUCUGAGGCACAGCAUUGAAGUUC
Molecule: long non-coding RNA, 976 nt
Organism: Oncorhynchus mykiss (rainbow trout)
Lineage: Eukaryota; Metazoa; Chordata; Actinopteri; Salmoniformes; Salmonidae
Source: RefSeq, a predicted model, not a curated record